This 241-nucleotide long non-coding RNA is filed under the name Panax ginseng (ginseng). RNAcentral's name for it is "long non-coding RNA (PGIN_LNC011696)". Lineage: Eukaryota; Viridiplantae; Streptophyta; Magnoliopsida; Apiales; Araliaceae. The record is from RNAcentral.
GUCCCUCGUCUUCUGUAAAUGUAGCACGGAAAUUUAAUACCCAAUAUUGUAAGGCAACUGAUCUUUUGUAUAUAACAAGAGCAUAGAGGCAACUGAUCCACUCACCUCAAUAAUAACCAAAAUCAAGCAAAUUAGUUAACAAAUAAAAUUCCAAAUAAAUAAUGAAUGCCAAUAACAUUUAUAGUCACAUGACCAUGUAAGCAAUCUAUUAGGAGAGUAUUUGGUACCUCAUUCCUAAAAG